GGAGGGGUAGCGUAAUUGGUAACGCAGCGGUCUUGAAAACCGCCGCCCUAAAGGCUUGCAGGUUCGAGUCCUGUCCCCUCCGCCA
RNAcentral lists this transfer RNA (85 nucleotides) under Sulfobacillus sp. RNAcentral describes it as "tRNA-Ser". It matches the Rfam family "tRNA". From Rfam's summary of the family: Transfer RNA (tRNA) molecules are approximately 80 nucleotides in length. Their secondary structure includes four short double-helical elements and three loops (D, anti-codon, and T loops). Lineage: Bacteria; Bacillati; Bacillota; Clostridia; Eubacteriales; Clostridiales Family XVII. Incertae Sedis. The record is from RNAcentral. RNAcentral also lists the same sequence under 2 other names.